GGGGGAAUAUUGCACAAUGGGGGAAACCCUGAUGCAGCAACGCCGCGUGAAGGAAGACGGUCUUCGGAUUGUAAACUUUUGUUCUUGGUGAAGAAGAAUGACGGUAGCCAAGGAGGAAGCCACGGCUAACUACGUGCCAGCAGCCGCGGUAAUACGUAGGUGGCAAGCGUUGUCCGGAAUUACUGGGUGUAAAGGGAGCGCAGGCGGGAAAUCAAGUUGGAUGUGAAAUGUCGGGGCUUAACCCCGGAACUGCAUCCAAAACUGAUAUUCUUGAGUGAAGUAGAGGUAGGCGGAAUUCCGAGUGUAGCGGUGAAAUGCGUAGAUAUUCGGAGGAACACCAGUGGCGAAGGCGGCCUACUGGGCUUUAACUGACGCUGAGGCUCGAAAGUGUGGGGAGC
RNAcentral lists this ribosomal RNA (398 nucleotides) under uncultured Eubacterium sp. RNAcentral describes it as "bacterial SSU rRNA". It matches the Rfam family "Bacterial small subunit ribosomal RNA", at positions 355 to 769 of the family's 1533-position model. Lineage: Bacteria; Bacillati; Bacillota; Clostridia; Eubacteriales; Eubacteriaceae. The record is from RNAcentral.